Molecule: long non-coding RNA, 1062 nt
Organism: Canis lupus familiaris (dog)
Lineage: Eukaryota; Metazoa; Chordata; Mammalia; Carnivora; Canidae
Exons: 4
Source: RefSeq, a predicted model, not a curated record
GGAGGAGGAGAGGAAGAAGGAGAAAAAGGAAAAAGGAGGAAGAAGAAGGACAAGUAUUUUGUUCUGUCCAUUGCCAUGAUCAAAUAUUCUCUUCAUCUGAUCAGCUCAUAUCUGAGGAAAUAAAUCAAGAUCAUAGUUCUCCCGGAUUCAGUGCAAAGCAAAUUCCAAUGGAAGAAGAGAGAACAUGGACUCUGUAGGGCUCCUCCUCCCUUGGAUCAUAAACACCCUGAGCGAAGGUGCUCCGUUACUAAGCUUCUAUCUCUGGAAUUUGCUAGAACACCUGGAACACAGGAGAUCCGCAGUCAAUAUGCACAGACGGAAACUGAGAAGCUAUUGACAAACGUGCUCCAGCAAAACUACGGAGUAAAGCACAAGAGGUGACAGAGAAUAGAAGAAAACAGAGCCCAGGACAGCCUGAGGAAGAUGGCCAUGCACCAGACCAAGAGAAAACCAGUCCACGGGGGCAGGGCAGGAAAAUAAACAGAAUGGAUAUGUGAUCUGACCUGUAUGAGCAUUUGAAAAAGAAUUAUUCCUAGAAAUCUGAUACAUCUAGUGCUGUUUUUUGGGGGAAAAAAUUUAGAUAGGUAUAUGAAAAUGAAGCAAAUGGCAAAAAAAGAGAAGCUCUUAGUAACUCAAGAAACCUGAUCACAGAAUAUUCCAUGGCUAGAAAAUGGAAGAAUAUUGACAUGAUCACAAUUUUAUAAAAACUGAUGGAUUUAAUCAAUAAUGGCUGAAAUUGAUAUAUGAAGUAGCAGUAUAUAGGCAUAUUAUUUGAAAUACUAGAAUAUGUAUUUAUAUAUAUAUUAGAAUUAGAGUAUAUUAUAAUAUUCCAAAUAUAAUGUGCCUAUACUGCUAUUAGUAUAUAUAUUUUAAUAAAAAUUACUAAAUCAAUUAAAAAUAUAUUCUAAUAUUCUAGGGGGAUAGUAGAGAAGGCACUGGGCAAAGGAAUGCUUUAAUAAGCACAUAAUAGUUAUUAGAAUAUAUUUGUGUAUGGUGAAAGAGAGUGGUCUAGUUUCAUUCUUCUGCAUGUGGAUGUCCAAUUUUCCCAGCACCAUUUAUUGA